GUUUCCUAGGGUUAGAGGCAGAAGUUUGAAAUGUAGAGUGAUAGAAAGUAGCAUUAGCAGUGGAUUCAGAGGAAGAGAAGGUAUAGAGGAAUCAGUGAAAGGAUGAUAGGUCCUCCAGAAGUUUUGUUUUCCUCUAUUUUCGCUCAGCUUCCCACAGCCCUGUUCUGUAAGCUCGCAAUGAGUCACUCAGCCACGAAGCAAGAGGGGAGGGCCGAGCCGGCCCGGGAGGACAUGGGGUAGUGUGAGUCAAAGGAUGCGGAAAGGAAGGAGAGUAGGGUCGAAGAGGCCGAAUCAGUACACAGGAGAGAAAAGGAUUUAGAAGGGAGAGAUGAUAGGUUAGAAGAGGAGAGAGUACUGGGAGAGAAAGAGCAAAGAUUGCAACGGCACAUGGCCAUCUGGGUAGGGGCUGAGAGGGUUGGAGGAAAGAGAGACAGAAAAGGAAACAAAAGUAGUGAUCCUCGACCUUGACGGCGGUUGCAGUGAGAUUAGUAAACGGCCAGCAUCUAGUAGAGAUGAGGUCAAGCAUAUUGCCUUGUCAGUUGGAGGGGAUUGGGAAAGGGUGACAUCAAAAGGCAAGGAGGGUAAUGAGAGAGUUGCAAAUAAAUGAAUCGAAGGGAGAUGUCGGGAGGUAGAAGUCGCCCAGUAAAAGAGUGGUGAGCCAUCAUCAGGAAAUAAGUUUAUGAAAGUGUUAAACUCAUUGAGGAAGUCUCCAAGGGCACCUGGUGGGCGAUAGAUGACAACAAGCUUGAGUGGACAAGUGACAGUGACCGCAUGGAAUUCAAAUGAGGAGAUGGACAGGUGAGAGAGUAGAUGGACAGGUGAGAGAGUAGAUAGACAGGUGAGAGAGUAGAUAGACAGGUGAGAGAAUAGAUGGACAGGUGAGAGAGUAGAUGGACAGGUGAGAGAGUAGAUGGACAGGUGAGAGAGUAGAUAGACAGGUGAGAGAGUAGAUGGACAGGUGAGAGAGUAGAUGGACAGGUGAGAGAGUAGAUGGACUGGUGAGAGAGUAGAUGGACAGGUGAGAGAGUAGAUGGACAGGUGAGAGAGUAGAUGGACAGGUGAGAGAGUAGAUGGACAGGUGAGAGAGUAGAUGGACAGGUGAGAGAGUAGAUGGACAGGUGAGAGAGUAGAUGGACAGGUGAGAGAGUAGAUGGACAGGUGAGAGAGUAGAUGGACAGGUGAGAGAGUAGAUGGACAGGUGAGAGAGUAGAUGGACAGGUGAGAGAGUAGAUGGACAGGUGAGAGAGUAGAUGGACAGGUGAGAGAGUAGAUGGACAGGUGAGAGAGUAGAUGGACAGGUGAGAGAGUAGAUGGACAGGUGAGAGAGUAGAUGGACAGGUGAGAGAGUAGAUGGACUGGUGAGAGAGUAGAUGGACUGGUGAGAGAGUAGAUGGACAGGUGAGAGAGUAGAUGGACAGGUGAGAGAGUAGAUGGACAGGUGAGAGAGUAGAUGGACAGGUGAGAGAGUAGAUGGACAGGUGAGAGAGUAGAUGGACAGGUGAGAGAGUAGAUGGACUGGUGAGAGAGUAGAUGGACUGGUGAGAGAGUAGAUGGACUGGUGAGAGAGUAGAUGGACAGGUGAGAGAGUAGAUGGACUGGUGAGAGGGAGAAAAGACCACAUCUCCAGUUAGGAGAAAUGAGUAGCCCUGUGCCACCACUGCGACGACCAGAUGCUCUUGGACUAUGAGAGAAAACGUAGUCAGGUGAAGGGAGAGCAGCUCUGAAGGGCAUCAUAGGCUUAGAUUAUCUCAGUGUUCUUUUUUUAAUUUGUACAUUUUUUUUACCCCCUUUUCUCCCCAAUUUUCGUGGUAUCCAAUUGUUUGUAAUUACUAUCUUAUCUCAUCGCUACAACUCCCGUACGGGCUCAGGAGAGACGAAGGUCGAAAGCCAUGCGUCCUCCGAAACACAACCCAACCAAGCCGCACUGCUUUUUAACACAGCGCGCCUCCAACCCGGAAGCCAGUCGCACCAAUGUGUCGGAGGAAACACCGUGCACCUGGCUACCUUGGUUAGCACGCACUGCGCUCGGUCCACCACAGGAGUCGCUGGUGCGCGAUGAGACAAGGAUAUCCCUACCGGCCAAACCCUCCCUAACCCAGACGACGCCAGGCCAAUUGUGUGUCACCCCACGGACCUCCCGGUCGCGGCCGGUUGCGACAGAGCCGGCCGCUAUCACUGCGAUGCAGUGCCCUAGACCACUGCGCCACACGGGAGGCAUCUCAGCGUUCUUAACUGUAGAUCAACAGUUCCAAAUGCUGCAAAACAUUUUUUUUCAGAAAAUAAAAAAAUCACCUGGUCCUGAUGAACUAGACCCCCGCCUCCUACAUCUAGCUGCAGACAUCAUUGCUCCCCCUUAACAUGUAUUUUUAACCUCACGCUUGAUGUUAAGGAAAUCCCCAAGUUAUGGAAAUCUGCUUUUGUACUCCCUCUUCUGAAAGGUGUAGAUCCUUCGCUACUUGACAACUACUCGACCCAUAUCAAAAUUGUCUGUACUGUCAAAGGUACUGGAGUCCUUAAUUAGUAGGCAGCUAAAGGUCUACUUCCAAGAAAACAACAUCUUAAAUGAUAUGCAAUCAGGUUUUAGGUCUGGCCAGAGCACUGUUUCAGCAACAUUGGUUUUAAAUUACAUCCAAUGUGCUCUUGAUAAGAAGUUACAUUUUGUGUCUGUUUUUGUUGAUUUGUCGAAGGCUUUUGACACCGUGGACCAUGCUGUGUUAGUGCAGAGGUUAAAAUGUUGUGGAAUUACUGGUCAUGCUCUAAAUUGGUUUAUAAAUUACCUAUCAAAUCGUACACAAUGUGUAAUGGUGGAUGAUUGUAAAUCUGAGUCCAUAGAGGUGUGCUCAGGUGUUCCGCAAGGUUCUAUUUUGGGCCCACUGUUGUUCAUUUUGUAUAUCAACAACAUUGGGGAUCUUAUUGAAACUGCGGGUGUUCAUUUUUAUGCAGAUGAUACUGUUCUUUAUUCAAGUGGUAGUAGUUUAUCUUUGGCUUUUGAAAAUUCCCAAAGAGCAUUUAACAUCAUACAACAGAAUCUGUAUGAUUUAAAGCUGAUUCUAAAUUCGGUAAAACAAAAUGCAUGAUAUUUUCAAAUGCCAGGCAUGUUACAAAUCAUGUCAUUGCUGGGCAUGCUAUACAUACUGUACAUACUAUACA
Long non-coding RNA from Oncorhynchus keta (chum salmon), 3150 nucleotides. RefSeq lists it as uncharacterized. Lineage: Eukaryota; Metazoa; Chordata; Actinopteri; Salmoniformes; Salmonidae. The record is from RefSeq and is a predicted model, not a curated record. The transcript is spliced from 5 exons.